This 253-nucleotide ribosomal RNA is filed under the name uncultured bacterium. Its description in RNAcentral is "partial 16S ribosomal RNA". It matches the Rfam family "Bacterial small subunit ribosomal RNA", at positions 524 to 776 of the family's 1533-position model. The record is from RNAcentral.
UACGUAGGGUGCGAGCGUUAAUCGGAAUUACUGGGCGUAAAGCGUGCGUAGGCGGUUCGUUAAGUGCGUCGUGAAAGCCCCGGGCUCAACCUGGGAAUGGCGAUGGAAACUGGCGGGCUGGAGUAUGGCAGAGGGGGGUGGAAUUCCGCGUGUAGCGGUGAAAUGCGUAGAUAUCUGGAGGAACACCGGUGGCGAAGGCGGCAUCCUGGACCGACACUGACGCUGAGGCGCGAAAGCUAGGGGAGCAAACGGG